This 1470-nucleotide ribosomal RNA is filed under the name uncultured bacterium. Its description in RNAcentral is "bacterial SSU rRNA". It matches the Rfam family "Bacterial small subunit ribosomal RNA". The record is from RNAcentral.
AACGAACGCUGGCGGCGUGCCUAAAACAUGCAAGUCGAACGAGAAAGCUCCUUAGGGAGUGAGUAAAGUGGCGCACGGGUGAGUAACACGUGGAUAAUCUACCUAAAAGACCGGAAUAACAUGUCGAAAGAUGUGCUAAUACCGGAUAAGCUCACAGAUAUACUUUAUCAGGGAGAAAAGAUGGCCUCUAUUUAUAAGCUAUUACUUUUAGAUGAGUCCGCGUCCCAUUAGCUAGUUGGCAGGGUAAAGGCCUACCAAGGCUACGAUGGGUAGCUGGUCUGAGAGGACGAUCAGCCACACUGGAACUGGAACACGGUCCAGACUCCUACGGGAGGCAGCAGUUAGGAAUAUUGCGCAAUGGGCGAAAGCCUGACGCAGCGACGUCGCGUGUGCGAAGAAGGCCUUAGGGUUGUAAAGCACUGUCACAUGGGAAGAACAAAGCAGAGGGGAAAGUUCUCUGCUCCUGACGGUACCAUGAGAGGAAGCACCGGCUAACUCCGUGCCAGCAGCCGCAGUAAUACGGAGGGUGCAAGCGUUGUUCGGAUUUAUUGGGCGUAAAGAGCGUGUAGGCGGUAUUGUAAGUCUGAUGUGAAAUCCCCGAGCUCAACUUGGGAACUGCAUUGGAUACUGCUUUACUAGAGUGUCGGAGAGGGUACUGGAAUUCCUGGUGUAGAGGUGAAAUUCGUAGAUAUCAGGAAGAACACCGGUGGCGAAGGCGGGUACCUGGACGAUUACUGACGCUGAGACGCGAAGCGUGGGGAGCAAACAGGAUUAGAUACCCUGGUAGUCCACGCUGUAAACGAUGAGUGCUAGAUGUUGCGGGAAUUAACCCCUGCAGUAUCGCAGCUAACGCGUUAAGCACUCCGCCUGGGGAGUACGGCCGCAAGGCUAAAACUCAAAGGAAUUGACGGGGGUCCGCACAAGCGGUGGAUUAUGUGGUUCAAUUCGAAGCAACGCGCAGAACCUUACCUGGGUUUGACAUCCUUCGACCGAUAUAGAAAUAUAUUUUCUGUAGAAAUACAGCGGAGUGACAGGUGCUGCAUGGCUGUCGUCAGCUCGUGUUGUGAAAUGUUGGGUUAAGUCCCGCAACGAGCGCAACCCUUGCCUCUAGUUACCAGCAUUAAGUUGGGUACUCUAGAGGGACUGCCUGCGUUAAGCAGGAUGAAGGUGGGGAUGACGUCAAGUCCUCAUGGCCUUUAUGCCCAGGGCUGCACACGUAAUACAAUGGUCGGUACAAUCGGUAGCAAGACCGCGAGGUUAAGCCAAUCCUAAAAAGCCGAUCUCAGUCCGGAUUGGAGUCUGCAAUUCGACUCCAUGAAGUCGGAAUCGCUAGUAAUCGCGCAUCAGCCAUGGCGCGGUGAAUACGUUCCCGGGCCUUGUACACACCGCCCGUCAAGCCAUGGAAGUUGGGGGUGCCUGAAGUCCGUAACCGCAAGGAGCGGCCUAGGGUAAAACCAGUGACUGGGGCUA